UAUUUGGUCUGUUACAAAGGAAGGAGGGAAAUGGGAUGGUACCGUGAUGAAUGAUUUUAAGACUCCAAUCUGGAAGGUUUCAUGGUCAUUGACUGGAGACUUGUUGGCUGUUGCUGAUGGGAAUAACCAUAUUACUCUGUGGAAAGAAGCAGUUGAUGGUAAAUGGCAACAAGUAACUACAGUUGAGCCUUAGGUUAUUCAUUGUUAGCCUUUGUCAUUUCAUUAUGUUUUGUGUCUUGUCAGGAGCAUGUUGUUCAAUAUUGUUAAACACUUUCCCUGUAUUUAGUUCACAAUAUUUUGUACUAUCAUUGCAUGUCUUCAUAACUUCUAAUCAUAUUUUGAGGGUGAGGAAUGAG
RNAcentral lists this unclassified non-coding RNA (356 nucleotides) under Hevea brasiliensis (rubber tree). Lineage: Eukaryota; Viridiplantae; Streptophyta; Magnoliopsida; Malpighiales; Euphorbiaceae. The record is from RNAcentral.